RNA transcript from Rosa chinensis, 2167 nucleotides. RefSeq lists it as uncharacterized. The record is from RefSeq and is a predicted model, not a curated record. The transcript has 5 exons. Lineage: Eukaryota; Viridiplantae; Streptophyta; Magnoliopsida; Rosales; Rosaceae.
UAAGCACUGUUUCUAAGCAAAGGUGGGUUACUGUUCAUAAGCACUGUUCCUAAGCAACUCUCUUAUGAACAGUGUACUUCCGCUUUUGCCCCCGCUGGCUGACCGGGAUUUUACUCUAUUCCCCUGCCACCUGUUGAUAUGCUGAGCUGACAAAUGGUAGAGUUGUUUCAUGCCCUUCUUUCUCUAAGCAAAAGAGAGAGCUUAUUUGCCUCGCAAAAAGAGGGGGAGAGAAUUGGGUCAUGUUCGUCGAGGAGAGAUACAGUACAACUCACUUCGAUUUAAGAGGUGUUUACUGGAUUUUUUUUUUUUCAAAAAAUUUCUUCAAAAUCACACUAAAUCUUUUUAUGUCUGAUUUGGGGUUUGGGUUAAGAUUAUUUAUGAUUUUGAAAGGCUGGUGAUGGGUUUCUCAGUUAAGGAAGAAGAACACGAAUCUUGGGUAUUCGAUUUUCAAAUUUUUUUUUGUUCAGUUUUUAUGGUUUAAUCAGUGAUAUUUUUUUUUCAUGUCCUGAGGUAUUUCCGAGCCGGUAUAGGAAAAGAGGCUUUUACCCCUAUUUCCUCUUAUUUUACGACGCUGCCACUGACCUGGUAUAAGAACCUAUCGAUCAGCCACAGCGGUUCUUUUCUCUUUCCGCUCUCUUCUCCCCCUUCAGAAAGUGAUAGCCGCGGAUUGCGACAGAGAGAGAGGUAUUCUGUGUCUUCUGGGUCCCUUCACUAAUCUGCGAGAGAGAGAGAGCGAGGGAGUGAAGGCUGAUCCGAAAGAGAGGAAGAACAGGGAACGGGAAGAGGAAGAAGAAUUUGAUGCACCAAGUUGUGUUCCUGAUUGAAGGUUUGGUUUGCCAUGCAUGCUGGGUAUAUGCGGGAAUUGAAUUUCAGAAUUUGUUUUUUCUUUUUCUCUGUUUGAGUUGAAAGCUCUGUGGGUUUUGAAGUAGUGGGUAGCUGAGAUUUAAGAGCAUCUGAGAUGAAGUCCAUGAAGGUAGAUGGCUGUAGGAAAUGUUUUUGAUGGCUCGGUUUCGACGGAUUUUCCGUUUUAUAACUUUCAAUUUAUCUCCUGUAUUUGUAGCUUGAGUUUCCAAUAAAUUAGUAGAGCUGUCUUUUUUUUAUUAGAAAUUGCUUUUUGAAACUUGAUCAAAAUUGUAGAGCCAGAGGAUGUAGUUUAAGUUGAUGAAUGACUAAUUGGCCAGUAGAUGUACUGAUUGUAUUAUUGAUGUCCUGUUUUAUAGUUCGAUGAAAACCCCCUAUGCAAUUUUAAAAUUGCCCAUGAUUCAUGAGUGCUUAAAAUUUGGGGCUAAAUACAUUACAAGUUGCUUAAACUGUGAAGGUUAGCAUGUAUGAUUCCAUAGUCGAUAAUGUUUUUUUCUCUCAGUGUUGGGUUUCAUACUUGGAACAUUUGAAUGAUUGGGUUUUAGUCCAAGUUAUUCUGUGCAUCAAGUAUGGCAGAGUGCCGAAACUAUUCUUAUUCACUCCGGUCUCACAUGUCAACAGGGCUAAAAUCACAAUCUUGGUCCUGCGCUCGCAUUACCUACUGACUGGUGUUGCAGACUAGUAAGUGCAAUGGAUCCUGGAAACCUGGGAGAGAUAUUGAAGCACUUGGAGACGCAGAAUGAGCUCCUUACGAAAGCGUCUGAAUCAGUGCUACAAGAACUGUCUAAUCUUCAGGGAGAAGAAGAAAUGAUGAUGCGCAAGUACUACGCUAUUAUGUCGGAGCAUGGUAAAGUUAAAAAGGUUCAAGAACUUCAUGAAUUUUGGCAGAAGCAUGGCCAUGGAAAAGUUUCAACUGAUACUGAAAUCGGAAGCUCUACUGCAUUAGUCACUGCUACUAGCAAAGAAGAAAACUGAUGAUUUCCAAGUGUUGUCUUCACAUUGUUAAGUGACCUGUAAAUACAAUAUUGGCACAUUGUACCUCCUUUUUAUACUCGAGAGAAAUUUUUGAUGGAAGUAUAACACGAAGUUGAUGAACUGUUGAGUAGACAAUGCUGCAUCGAAGCCUCAUCAGUCGUCAUGAUCCAACAAACACUGCUUGUUUGAAAUCUUGAUUGUAUGAGACUUAUGAUAUUGUAAGAGAGGAACAUCUUCCUGACAUUCCACAACAGAUUUAUCAGACUCAGUUGUCUGUAUAACUGCAGGUUUAUCCCUCAGUUUCAUAUUGAAAUCUUUCCAAAUUAAGUUC